Molecule: ribosomal RNA, 460 nt
Filed under: uncultured bacterium
Lineage: Bacteria
Description: partial 16S ribosomal RNA
Rfam family: Bacterial small subunit ribosomal RNA
Source: RNAcentral
CCUACGGGUGGCAGCAGUGAGGAAUAUUGGUCAAUGGACGCAAGUCUGAACCAGCCAUGCCGCGUGCAGGAAGACUGCCCUAUGAGUUGUAAACUGCUUUUGUACGAGGGUAAACGCAGACACGCGUAUCUGUCUGAAAGUAUCGUACGAAUAAGGAUCGGCUAACUCCGUGCCAGCAGCCGCGGUAAUACGGAGGAUUCGAGCGUUAUCCGGAUUUAUUGGGUUUAAGGGGGGCGUAGGUGGUCGGAUAAGUUAGAGGUGAAAGCCAGAGGCUCAACUUCGGAAUUGCCUUUGAUACUGUUAGGCUAGAGAAUAGUUGCGGUAGGCGGAAUGUAUGGUGUAGCGGUGAAAUGCUUAGAGAUCAUACAGAACACCGAUUGCGAAGGCAGCUUACCAAGCUGCUUCUGACGUUGAGGCACGAAAGCGUGGGGAUCAAACAGGAUUAGAUACCCGAGUAGUC